CGAAACUGAACACAUCCGAUUUCGUGGAGUACUGUCCACGCAUCACGUACUCAGGAGACAUGUAGCCACUGCAAUGAGAAGAAUCAGCACCAUGUUCAGUUAGAGGCCAUUAUGUGUCUGAAUGGAAGACUAAACUGAAUGAUUAACAGAUUGACAAUAAUUGAUUACAAUGUCCCGACGAUGCGGUUCGUCACAUCUCGUGUCUGGUCUUGCUCGAAGAGCCUGGCUAGGCCGAAGUCACCAAUCUUAGGGUUCAUGUCCGCAUCCAGCAAGACAUUGCUUGCUUUCAUGUCACGGUGGACAAUUUUCUUCUGAGAGUCUUCAUGAAGAUACUGUAGUCCUCGAGCAAUUCCUUCUAUUAUGUUGAAUCGUUUCUUCCAUUCGAGCCGUCUUUUUUCUUCAGGGUCUAAUAGACGAAUCAGAAUUUUAAGGUUAAUGGAAAUUCAGAGAUGUUAGUAUGAAGAUUCUUGGAAGAUUUCUAGUACCAAAAAGAAUGGUGUCAAGGCUUUUGUUGGCCAUGUACUCGUAGACGAGCAAUCUCUCUCCCUCUUCUAAGCAGAAACCCUCCAAUCGGACGAGAUUCUUGUGAUGAAGUUUGGCCACCAAAACUAGCUCAUUUCUUAGUUCUUCUAGCCCCUGAUUUGAACCCUUUGACAGCCUCUUCACGGCUACUUCUUGUCCAGAAAGAUCUCCCUAUAUAAAUUUAUUAUUUUCCAUGAUGUUAAUUCAAUGAAUAGAAUAUACAGCACUGGGAAGUUUUAAAAUAUUCAAGUUUUUUUAACAACGAUCUUGAGUACAAAACUAAUGUUUUCUAUACAUGUUUACUUAAUAUUUUGAUCAUCCUAGUUGGUUCAACUAACUGGUUUACAUUGUACAGCAACAAUGUGAAUUUGAUUUACAUAAAAGCUUGGUGAAAAUUUGCAAAGGAGCUAUUUUUUAUUGAAAAGGGUGCCAUCAUACCUUAUAAACUGAACCAAAUCCCCCUUCACCGAGCUUAUUGCUUUCAUCAAAGUUAUUUGUUGCUACUUGCAGUGACGACAGAGACAACAAUGUUGACUUGAUGCUUUCGAAGUCCUCAACUGUAUGUGCUGGUAAAUUGAUUCAAUAGUGAUAGUGCAAAAUUACCCCUAAUGAAAUGAUAAUGCUAAAGAACGAAAAGUUUCUAGCUUCAUGCCAAACUGUGCAGAGGAGUAGAGGACUUACUUCGGCGGGGAAGCUUUGUUCCUCGGGAUCUUCUCUUCUUACGCAUAUUGCAGAUAUACAAGGUUAUGGCAGCUACUACAGCGAUAAGCACUAUUGGCAAUAUAAUUCCAAGAAGUUUGCCAGCUGAAUUGUUUUUACCUGUGAUUUUGCCCCCAAAAAAUCAGUUCAAGUUUGUCCAGUACUGCAUAUGUUUGUUUGUUUGCUUUUUUUGUUUUUUUGCUAUAUUAGCUCAUGAUUGUAACGAUGUUGCUCAAUGAACAACAUGAAGUUAUUGUUUAUCUCAGAAACUCCCAGAUGAUGCAGUGGUGGUGUGCAGUGGGUCACGCGUACUAUGAUACUAUACACAAAUGGAUACAAGCCGGCCGCUCUGGUUGCUCAUUUCUCAUGUGGGCCUGGCUAAUUUACUACUUAAAUGGGCCUGAAGUAGAUUUGUCUCUUCUUCUUUUUUUGGAAGUGAGGUAGAUUUGUUAUUGUUGUUGUUACUCGUGUUUCUUUUCUUCUCUUCUUUUUUAGGAAAGCCAAGAGGAAUAACGCACUGACCUCCCGUGGUGCCCGGUACAGUCACCGAAGGCGCCGGCGCUGGAACGGCCGCUUCGCCGUUCAUCUGCAGCUUCACCAUCGGAGCGCCGGUGUAGAACUUGUCCCCGAGCUCGGACCUCAGGUUGCACCGCGAGCCGGCGAGCCUCGCUCCCUCCCCGUUAGGCUUGAACCCACUCCCGUUCCACCACAGCGUCACCAGAUCGUGGAGGCAUCCCCGGCACUGCGCCGGCGACAGGUCCCCGGCGCACUGCGCCAUGGACCAGAUGUUGGGGACCCGCGGGUCGAGCCCCACCAGCUGCCCCGUGGCGAAGUACAGCCUCGGCGACGACGGCGACGACCUGUCCACCGCGUGCGCCGCGGUGGCGUUGAGCAGCCGCGUGACGGCGCCGUCGUAGGCCGAGACGUUGACGCCGGCGGGGUUGCUGGUGCCGCUGAUGAGCGGCACCAUGCCGGUGUUGUUUGGCGAGGAGAGGAAGUCCGUGACGGCGACGCGGACGUAGCACUGGUUGUAGACGAGGGCGGCGUCCCGGGUGCGGUUGCAGACACGCUGCACGUCCUCGCCGGUGCGGGUGCCGCAGUCGAAGCAGUCGGACGCGCUGACGUCGCCGCGGCAGAGCACGAGGCCGUAGACGGCGUCCGCGCCGGCGCCGGCGGAGCCCGACGCGAAGAGGGCGGGCGAGUUGGAGGCGUUGGCGCGGAGCACGGAGACGAGGCGGAGGAGGUUGUCGGCGUAGGUGCUGCCCGCCGAGUAGUUGCCUCUCUGGCCGUCGCAGACCGCCCACGGCUGCGCUGCGGCGUAGGGGAUGACCAUCACCAGCGCGAGCGCCGCUAGGUCGACUACAGGAACGCGCGGCAUGGCGCGGCGCCCGCGAGCGCAGCAGCCGGCGCGGCGCGGGUGGAAGAAUUUGUGAGAUUAUUGCAGCAAGCUACUUGUUGCAUGCAGCAGAUGGAAACUUGACGGAUCAGAGGAGCUCAACAGGAUAUUGCAUGGUGGUACGAUUGUAUCAUUGCAUAGCAGGUGGGUGGGUGGCCAUGGCAAGUGGCUCGCGACAUGGCCAAUCGAUGCGUUUCCUUUGGACGACAGGGAACACGCGAAUUCCAAAAGAGGACGACGACGGAAAGGAGGAUAAUGCAAGUUGCGCCGCGGCAGGUUUCGCAGAAACGUGACCGGAGCGGGUGCACGUGGUCGCUGGAUGGAGUAAACAAGCCCAGAGCCGUCGACAUCGUCACCGGACAUGCCGCGGCGAGAUACAGCUUUUGACUUGGAAAGACCGCGGCGCAUGCCGCUGGUGGUUUACUUUGUUCAGCCGCGGAGGCUGCGAGUGGCCAGGUCGCUAGCUACUAGCAAGGGCUGGUAGUAAUUUACACGCAGCAACUACUUCCAAGUGCUGCUGCUGUAUGUACGCACGUUCAAAAUGUUCAAGGUCGUAGGUCCACAGCCACACCUCAGCUGCCCACGCGCGGUUGCUCCGAUCGAUCCGUGCAGCACCGUCGUCGUCGGAAAUCGUUGCCUUGAAUCCUGUGGGCAUCCGGGCGCACAUGCAUUCCGGCGACGCGACGCCUGCGAACCCCGGCGAGGCGGCGACGCGCGGCCUCGUUCAAGACGGGCUCCUUUUGGGCGUCGGCUUCGUCUCUUGCCCCGUCUGCUUGGGCGGGCGGGGCCCGCGGCGGGUGAACGGGAGCGAUAGUCGUGUCCCGCAGCAUCGGGGUGAUGAACCUGUCAACAGCCAUUGCCUUGUUGCCAACUUGCCGGGGUGGCACCACAACCCAAGCUGCCCCAUAUCUGGUGUACUAUGGAGACCGCCAAUGGCAGAAUGCAGAUAUAAACUAGGAGAUCUGGAGCCUCAUGGCAUCGUGGGCCGCCCAACAAUACGUCAUCUUAUUACACUGUACAGCAAUGACCCAAAACAAGGAUUUUUCAUAUACUUUUCUAAAAGCUUGAAGCAGCACCAGUAACAAGAAACUUUCUUUUUGAGAACUCGGUAAAAAGAAGCACAAACUACACUUCGCGGUGAACGAACUGCACCAGUUUCUCUGAAGUCUGAACUACUAUACAACAAGAAACAAACAGGCAACAAUAUGUCUCUCUCCACAAAGGCCGUGUCUUAAGCCUUAGCUGGCGGAAGGAUAUGAAACGGUACCGGAAGCAUAAGAGUAACCUGAGGUACCUGAGCUUGGAUCCAAGAAAAAUGUUGGUCUCGCAGCAGGAGGCAGUGAACUGGUAGCAUCACCGUUGAGCAUCACCAUGACAUCCGACAUCGUAGGCCGGUCCACGGGAUUCUGCUGAAGGCACAACAGACCAAUAUUGACGCAUUUUAGCACCUCAGUCUCUGAGUAGUUCCUCCCUAGGGAAUCAUCUAUCAUCUCUGCAAUUGUUCCCUCAGACCAAUGCCUCCAUACCUAGCAUCGGUUUCAUGGGUUGUUCAGAAUAAAUUAAACAACUAUACAAUCUAGCAAUAUGCAGUUACUGUUACAUGCAAGAGAGAGUGUUUAUUGCCGAGUACUCACGAUGCUUAUAAUGUCUUCGUUUUGCUCAUGGAAGUAAUGUCCGGUGUUUCUCUGCCCCGUUAUGAUCUCUAUAACAAGGAUACCGAAACUGAACACAUCCGAUUUCGUGGAGUACUGUCCACGCAUCACGUACUCAGGAGACAUGUAGCCACUGCAAUGAGAAGAAUCAGCACCAUGUUCAGUUAGAGGCCAUUAUGUGUCUGAAUGGAAGACUAAACUGAAUGAUUAACAGAUUGACAAUAAUUGAUUACAAUGUCCCGACGAUGCGGUUCGUCACAUCUCGUGUCUGGUCUUGCUCGAAGAGCCUGGCUAGGCCGAAGUCACCAAUCUUAGGGUUCAUGUCCGCAUCCAGCAAGACAUUGCUUGCUUUCAUGUCACGGUGGACAAUUUUCUUCUGAGAG
Molecule: long non-coding RNA, 4652 nt
Filed under: Setaria viridis
Lineage: Eukaryota; Viridiplantae; Streptophyta; Magnoliopsida; Poales; Poaceae
Description: long non-coding RNA (SVIR_LNC002406)
Source: RNAcentral